Phasianus colchicus (ring-necked pheasant) is the source of this 1646-nucleotide long non-coding RNA. NCBI's taxonomy places the organism in Eukaryota, Metazoa, Chordata, Aves, Galliformes, Phasianidae. The record is from Ensembl.
AUGUUGUGGUUCUGCGUCCCAGAAUCUCGGGAUUUGCACCCAAAACUCCACCGCUCCAUCAGGUGUACCGAAAUCCCGGGGUUUGGUCCCCAAACUCCGCAUCUCCAUCGCGUGUCACAGAGUUCUGAGGUUUGGACCCAAAAUCCCGACAUUUGGACCCCAAAAGUUGCAGUUCUGUGCCCCAAAAUCCCAGGGUUUCGACCCAAAACUCUGCGUCUGCAUCGCAUGUCACAAAGUUCUGAGGUUCGGACCCAAAAUCCCGGUGUUUUGACCCAAAAUGUUGGGUGGUUCGGCUCCGAAAUCGCAGAGUUUGGCCCCAAAACUCUGCCGCUCCAUCGCGUGUCGCAAAGUUGUGAGGUUCAGACCCCAAAUCCCGGUGUUUUGACCCAAAAUGUUGGGUGGUUCGGUUCUGAAAUCCCGGGGUUUGGACCCAAAACUCCAGGUCUCCAUCGUGUGUCGCAAAGUUCUGAGGUUCGGACCAAAAAUCCCGGGGUUUCGGCCCAAAAUGUUGUGGUUCUGUGCCCCAAAAUCCCAUGUUUUCAACCCAAAACUCCGUGUCCUACUCUGCUGUACCAAAAUCCUGGGGUUUGGCCCCAAAAUGUUGUGGUUCUGUGCCCCAAAAUCCCGGGUUUUGGCCCCAGAACUUUACGUCCCCAUUGUGCAUACCAAAGUCUGGAAAUUUGGCCCCAAAAUGUUGUGGUUCUGUGCCCAAAAACCCGUGUUUUUACCCAAAACCCCGUGUCCUACUCCACUGUACCAAAAUCCUGGGGUUUGGCCCCAAAAUGUUGCGUCCCUCUGCCCCAAAAUCCUGUGUUUUCAACCCAAAUCUCUGUGUCCUACUCCACUGUACCAAAAUCCUGGGGUUUGGCCCCAAAAUGUUGUGGUUCUGCCCCAAAAUCCCGGGUUUUGGCCCCAGAACUUUGCGUCCCCAUCGCGCGUACCAAAAUCUGGACAUUUGGCCCCAAAAUGUUGCGUCCUUCUGCCCCCAAAAUCCCAAAGUUUGGCCCCCAAACUUCGCGUCUCUCUUGGGUGUUCCAAAAUCCCAGGGUUUGGCCCCAAAACGUCGCAUUCUAAUGGACCAAAAUCCCGAAUUUUGGACCAAAACCUCCGCCACCGCCAUCGCGUGUCCCAAAGUUCUGAGGUUUGGCCCCCAAAUGUUGAACUUCUGUGCCCCAAAAUCCCAAAGUUUGGCCCCAAAACUCCACGUCUCUCAGCCCCAGAAAUGCUGUCCCCAUCUCAGUGUACCGCCGACACCGUGAUGGCUGCCUGCAUCCACACCUGUCCGUCUGUCCCGUGUCCACCCCGUGCUCCGGGUCCGUCUGUCCCAUGUCUGUCUGUCCCGUGUCCAUCUGUCCCGUGUCCAUCCCAUGUUUUGUGUCCGUCUGUCCCGUGUCCAUCCCGUAUUCUGCGUCUGACUGUCCUGCAUCUGUCUGUCCCACGUCCGUUCCCUAUUCUGUGUCCGACUGUCCCGUGUCCGUCUGUCCCGUGUCCAUCCCAUAUUCUGCAUCUGACUGUCCUGCGUCCGUCUGUCCCGUGUCCAUCCCAUGUUCUGUGUCCGACUGUCCUGUGUCUGUCUGUCCUGUGUCCAUCCCGUAUUCUGUGUCUGACUGUCCUGCGUCUGUCUGUCCCGUGUCCAUCCGUCCCGU